UACGGAGGGUGCAAGCGUUGUUCGGAAUUACUGGGCGUAAAGCGCACGUAGGUGGCGACGUAAGUCGGGUGUGAAAGCCCCGGGCUCAACCUGGGAAUUGCAUUCGAGACUGCAUUGCUGGAGUACGGAAGAGGAGGGCGGAAUUCCCGGUGUAGCGGUGAAAUGCGUAGAUAUCGGGAGGAACAUCAGUGGCGAAGGCGGCCCUCUGGUCCAGUACUGACACUCAAGUGCGAAAGCGUGGGGAGCAAACAGG
Molecule: ribosomal RNA, 253 nt
Filed under: uncultured bacterium
Lineage: Bacteria
Description: partial 16S ribosomal RNA
Rfam family: Bacterial small subunit ribosomal RNA
Source: RNAcentral